UACGGAGGGAGCUAGCGUUGUUCGGAAUUACUGGGCGUAAAGCGCACGUAGGCGGCUUUGUAAGUUAGAGGUGAAAGCCCGGGGCUCAACUCCGGAACUGCCUUUAAGACUGCAUCGCUUGAAUCCAGGAGAGGUGAGUGGAAUUCCGAGUGUAGAGGUGAAAUUCGUAGAUAUCGGGAGGAACACCAGUGGCGAAGGCGGCGACCUGGGCCAAUACUGACGCUGAGGUGCGAAAGCGUGGGGAGCAAACAGG
This 253-nucleotide ribosomal RNA is filed under the name uncultured bacterium. Its description in RNAcentral is "partial 16S ribosomal RNA". It matches the Rfam family "Bacterial small subunit ribosomal RNA", at positions 524 to 776 of the family's 1533-position model. The record is from RNAcentral.